This 452-nucleotide ribosomal RNA is filed under the name uncultured organism. RNAcentral's name for it is "partial 16S ribosomal RNA". It matches the Rfam family "Bacterial small subunit ribosomal RNA", at positions 335 to 804 of the family's 1533-position model. The record is from RNAcentral.
CAUCCUGCGGGAGGCAGCAGUGGGGAAUUUUACGCAAUGGGGGAAACCCUGACGUAGCGACACCGCGUGAGCGAAGAAGCCCUUUGGGGUGUAAAGCUCUGUCAGCUGGAACGAAAACAAUGACGGUACCAGCAGAGGAAGCAUCGGCUAACUACGUGCCAGCAGCCGCGGUAAGACGUAGGAUGCGAGCGUUGUCCGGAUUUAUUGGGCGUAAAGAGUUCGUAGGUGGUUUGUUAAGUUUGGUGUUAAAGAUCGGGGCUCAACCCUGGGACUGCACUGAAUACUGGCAGACUCGAGUGUGGUAGAGGCUAGUGGAAUUCCCAGUGUAGCGGUGAAAUGCGUAGAUAUUGGGAAGAACACCGGUGGCGUAGGCGACUAGCUGGGCCAUAACUGACGCUGAGGAACGAAAGCCAGGGGAGCGAAUGGGAUUAGAUACCCUGGUAGUCCCAUGA